UAGCUAGUUGGUAGGGUAAAGGCCUACCAAGGCGACGAUCGGUAGCUGGUCUGAGAGGAUGACCAGCCACACUGGAACUGAGACACGGUCCAGACUCCUACGGGAGGCAGCAGUGGGGAAUAUUGGACAAUGGGGGGAACCCUGAUCCAGCAAUGCCGCGUGUGUGAAGAAGGCCUGAGGGUUGUAAAGCACUUUCAGUAGGGAGGAGGUUAAUUAGGUUAAGAGCUGAAUUAAUGGACGUUACCUACAGAAGAAGCACCGGCUAACUCCGUGCCAGCAGCCGCGGUAAUACGGAGGGUGCGAGCGUUAAUCGGAAUUACUGGGCGUAAAGGGUGCGUAGGUGGUUAAUUAAGUUAUCUGUGAAAUCCCCGGGCUCAACCUGGGCAGGUCAGAUAAUACUGGUUAACUCGAGUAUGGGAGAGGGUAGUGGAAUUUCCGGUGUAGCGGUGAAAUGCGUAGAGAUCGGAAGGAACACCAGUGGCGAAGGCGGCUACCUGGCCUAAUACUGACACUGAGGCACGAAAGCGUGGGGAGCAAACAGGAUUAGAUACCCUGGUAGUCCACGCUGUAAACGAUGUCAACUAGCUGUUGGUUAUAUGAAUAUAGUUAGUGGCGC
Molecule: ribosomal RNA, 616 nt
Filed under: uncultured Legionella sp.
Lineage: Bacteria; Pseudomonadati; Pseudomonadota; Gammaproteobacteria; Legionellales; Legionellaceae
Description: bacterial SSU rRNA
Rfam family: Bacterial small subunit ribosomal RNA
Source: RNAcentral